AUUGAACGCUGGCGGCAGGCCUAACACAUGCAUGUCGAGCGCGAAGGUUCUUCGGAGUGAGUAAAGCGGCGGACGGGUGAGUAAUACAUGGGAAUCUGCCUGGUAGUGGGGGACAACGUUUCGAAAGGAACGCUAAUACCGCAUACGCCCUACGGGGGAAAGGGGGGGAUCUUCGGACCUCUCGCUAUCAGAUGAGCCCA
RNAcentral lists this ribosomal RNA (200 nucleotides) under uncultured bacterium. RNAcentral describes it as "partial 16S ribosomal RNA". It matches the Rfam family "Bacterial small subunit ribosomal RNA", at positions 30 to 233 of the family's 1533-position model. The record is from RNAcentral.